This 254-nucleotide ribosomal RNA is filed under the name uncultured bacterium. RNAcentral describes it as "partial 16S ribosomal RNA". It matches the Rfam family "Bacterial small subunit ribosomal RNA", at positions 524 to 776 of the family's 1533-position model. The record is from RNAcentral.
UACGGGGGGAGCAAGCGUUGUUCGGAUUUACUGGGCGUAAAGGGCGGGUAGGCGGCCACCGCAAGUCAGUUGUGAAAUCUCCGGGCUUAACCCGGAAAGGUCAGCCGAUACUGCGGGGCUAGAGUGCAGAAGGGGCAACUGGAAUUCUCGGAGUAGCGGUGAAAUGCGUAGAUAUCGAGAGGAACACCUGCGGCGAAGGCGGGUUGCUGGGCUGACACUGACGCUGAACUGCGAAAGCUAGGGGAGCGAACGGG